This 494-nucleotide ribosomal RNA is filed under the name uncultured bacterium. RNAcentral's name for it is "partial 16S ribosomal RNA". It matches the Rfam family "Bacterial small subunit ribosomal RNA", at positions 28 to 507 of the family's 1533-position model. The record is from RNAcentral.
GACGAACGCUGGCGGCGUGCUUAACACAUGCAAGUCGAACGGUGAAGCGCCUUCCUUUUUGGUGGGUGUGGAUGAGUGGCGAACGGGUGAGUAACACGUGAGUAACCUGCCCCCUUCUUCUGGAUAACCGCAUGAAAGUGUGGCUAAUACGGGAUAUUCUGGGUCUGUCGCAUGAUGGGUCUGGGAAAGAUAUUGUUUCGGUGGGGGAUGGGCUCGCGGCCUAUCAGCUUGUUGGUGGGGUGAUGGCCUACCAAGGCGGUGACGGGUAGCCGGCCUGAGAGGGUGGACGGUCAUACUGGGACUGAGACACGGCCCAGACUCCUACGGGAGGCAGCAGUGGGGAAUAUUGCACAAUGGGCGCAAGCAUGAUGCAGCGACGCCGCGUGAGGGAUGGAGGCCUUCGGGUUGUGAACCUCUUUCGCCAGUGAAGCAGGCCUGCCUCGUUUGUGGGUGGGUUGACGGUAGCUGGAUAAGAAGCGCCGGCUAACUACGUG